CUUUUACAUCCGGAAAGCGUCGGUUAUGGGUUAAAGUAUGUGGUCUUUUUUGCGUGCUAAAGUACUCGGGACAGAAUUCUUUGGCUUAAUUUAAAAUGCAGAAGAUGCAGCGGUCUUGUAGUAGUAGGUCGACGUCAGCUUUGAAAACCUGUCCGUUCAGAAGCCUGAGUAGACUUAAGUGUUCAUUAGUUCCCGCGGGAGCCAUGUGCAGCCCCGGCGCUGAGUCGCAAGUCAAGCGCGCGUGGGCCGUGGGCCCUCCACCAAAGAUUAAAUACAGCUGAUGACUUCAGUGAAGAAGGUCGUUAGUUCUCCCGUCAGCGUCAUGUGGCCAUCUUGAAUCUACUCCGCCGUUUAGUAGCACUGCAUCCGGGUAGCCCGCCAGUUUAAUCCAGGUGGAAGCCGAACGAAUUGUUCCAGUGAUGAUGGAAAAUACAUAAAGAUACCAAGAAAUCCAAAGCGAUGUGAGUGAAGUCUUAUCCUGCAGUAUGCUGCCAAGUGAUUUUAAAUCUCAAGUAUGAUAUUUAAGUCAAUAAAUGAGUGCCUCCUUGUAUAUAACUACAUAAAAUGCUUGAUUUGUACAGAAAAUCAGUGUUCCCUACCUGAAUAAAUGCAAAGGUGACUGCAAAUAGU
This 630-nucleotide long non-coding RNA is filed under the name Sus scrofa (pig). RNAcentral's name for it is "lncRNA (ENSSSCG00035042785.1)". Lineage: Eukaryota; Metazoa; Chordata; Mammalia; Artiodactyla; Suidae. The record is from RNAcentral.